This 71-nucleotide transfer RNA is filed under the name Camelus bactrianus (Bactrian camel). It matches the Rfam family "tRNA". Rfam says of the family: Transfer RNA (tRNA) molecules are approximately 80 nucleotides in length. Their secondary structure includes four short double-helical elements and three loops (D, anti-codon, and T loops). Further hydrogen bonds mediate the characteristic L-shaped molecular structure. tRNAs have two regions of fundamental functional importance: the anti-codon, which is responsible for specific mRNA codon recognition, and the 3' end, to which the tRNAs corresponding amino acid is attached (by aminoacyl-tRNA synthetases). tRNAs cope with the degeneracy of the genetic code in two manners: having more than one tRNA (with a specific anti-codon) for a particular amino acid; and 'wobble' base-pairing, i.e. permitting non-standard base-pairing at the 3rd anti-codon position. The record is from Rfam by way of RNAcentral. RNAcentral also lists the same sequence under 2 other names. Lineage: Eukaryota; Metazoa; Chordata; Mammalia; Artiodactyla; Camelidae.
GAGGGUAUAGCUCAGUGGAAGAGUGCAUGCUUACAUGCACAAGGUCCUGGGUUCAGUCCCCAGUACCUUCC